CACGGAGGGAGCAAGCGUUGUUCGGAAUUACUGGGCGUAAAGGGCUCGUAGGUGGCCAACUAAGUCAGACGUGAAAUCCCUCGGCUUAACCGAGGAACUGCGUCUGAUACUGGAUGGCUUGAGUUUGGGAGAGGGAUGCGGAAUUCCAGGUGUAGCGGUGAAAUGCGUAGAUAUCUGGAGGAACACCGGUGGCGAAGGCGGCAUCCUGGACCAAUACUGACGCUGAACAGCGAAAGCCAGGGGAGCAAACGGG
RNAcentral lists this ribosomal RNA (253 nucleotides) under uncultured bacterium. RNAcentral describes it as "partial 16S ribosomal RNA". It matches the Rfam family "Bacterial small subunit ribosomal RNA", at positions 524 to 776 of the family's 1533-position model. The record is from RNAcentral.